UACAGAGGUCUCAACCGUUGUUCGGAUUCAUUGGGCGUAAAGGGUGCGUAGGCGGUCGCGCAAGUCGGAUGUGAAAGCCCUGGGCUCAACCUAGGAAGUGCACUCGAAACUUCGGAGCUGGAGUCCUGGAGAGGAAGGCGGAAUUCUCGGUGUAGAGGUGAAAUUCGUAGAUAUUGGGAGGAACACCAGUGGCGAAGGCGGCUCACUGGACCGGUACUGACGCUGAUGCGCGAAAGCGUGGGGAGCAAACGGG
Molecule: ribosomal RNA, 253 nt
Filed under: uncultured bacterium
Lineage: Bacteria
Description: partial 16S ribosomal RNA
Rfam family: Bacterial small subunit ribosomal RNA
Source: RNAcentral